This 20107-nucleotide long non-coding RNA is filed under the name Sorghum bicolor (sorghum). Its description in RNAcentral is "long non-coding RNA (SBIC_LNC017317)". Lineage: Eukaryota; Viridiplantae; Streptophyta; Magnoliopsida; Poales; Poaceae. The record is from RNAcentral.
GUUUUGAUAUCUAGACCUCAUAGGUGGGAGAUAGCUAAUACAUACUUACAAGACAUUUAUUGCAUAGUCAAACCAUGGAUCCAGAGAAACAAGUCAAUAAGUCAAAUCAAGAUGUGCAUGUGUGGCGAAUGAAUGAUGUAUGGUGAUGAUGGUGAUAAUGGUGAAAACAAUGGUGAAAGUCUAAUUCUACUUUUGCUCUUUUGGGGGGAUACAUACCUUUCUUGCACUUUGAAGCUUUUUGAGGAGAAUGAGAUGCUCUACAUUUUUUUUUCUCUCAGGUGGGUAUCUUGUACCCCUAAUUCUACUGUCGGACACUUGUCCAUUUUUACCUCUCGUCUCACUUUUUCUUUUCUUCAAGGUUUCGGGCACUUUUUAUUUCCUCCUAUUCUCUUUUUUCAGAGCACUCACCCUCCUGGAAUAAUGUAGCAAGUGGUAGUAACCAAAAUAUCUUGAGCAUUUAUUUCACGGGGAAUAACAGGGAUAGGAUAAUGUUUUUGGCUAUUCUCUCCCGGAUAGGAGUAGAAUAAUUCUGGGUGAAUCUGGAGAUGGAAAUGAGUGGAUGUAUGUGGAUGCGUACUUUCGGAGUAGAAGUAGCAUGUAUGAGUGGACGUGCAAGUGAAUCUUGAUUUUGACCGCAUGACAAGCUCCUAAGGGUCUACACAGCUUGACCACACUCAAUGCUCAUAAGUAGUAAAAAGUAAAUGUAUGGUUCAUAGUCUAAUAAGCAUGUAUAUGUGGCUGUGGUAGGAUUUUAAACUCUCAUCAUACAGUAACUCAUCAUGCAACAAUUUAAAAAUUUUCAAAGAUAAAAUUCUCUAGAAUUCUAGCAUCUCUUGGAACAGAUAAACAGCAGCUCAACUUUCCCAUAUCAUAUCCGUUAACGACUUAGACUUUAGAUCAAGUACUCUUCCCACAAGUUCAGGUUUAGAGAAAAUCUUAAUUCAUAACAGUCAUGCCUAAACUUGAGAGAGAAUUCAAUUUUGAAAACUAGUCAUGGCAGAGCAACUAUUCAUCAUUUCCAUGUGAGAGCUUAUCAUGAGGGUUAUAGCAAACUUUAUUUAUUUAUUUAUUUAGCAAACUAAGCAAAGAUAUAUAUAUAAUUAUAAAAUCUUUAUUUGGUUUUUUUAUGAUUAUGCAUCUUUUUAUUAUUUGAGUAAAAACACUUAGCUAGAUAAAUGGGGGUGCUCUUCUCCAAGCUGGAUUUUGACGUAAUUUCUUCUGAUGUAGCUAGUAGGUGGCGAAGGUGUAUUUGAAUGUCGGCAGCACCCUGACAGCGAUUAGGAUGUCCUCCGUCUGCUAGUCUUCUUUGAUCCUUUAAUUCUGUGGAGCUCAAAAAGACAACAAAGCUUUGUGGAACUGGUUAAGUGUUAGCAUAAAAAUCUCUUUGCCUUUAUCAUGUUGAGCUUCCUCUAAUAAAUAUUACUCUCUUUGGUAGGAUCAUAAAUUUAUUUUUAUAUUUUCAUUUCUAUAGGACAGGAAUAUAUUUAUUUUUAUGCCACCACAGUGAAUGUUCUUAUGGGUUUUAUGCCACGAGCAUACUCACAUGUGGCUUACUGUUUUUAACAUUUUUAUUUCUUUUCAAGAUAGCAUGAUUAACUAACAAGCCAUUUAUGGAAAGUAAAUAAUUUAAGGGAAAAGGGAAUGCAGAAAGGAUAAAUAUGGAUAACUACCGAUUUUACCUUUCGGCAAGGGUUCAAUGUUUUAAGUCUUCCGAACAACACUUCUCACCGUGUUCAUUCUUUAGGUGCGUCAUUUGAUUCAGGUUUGGACCUUGACGUCUGCACCUCUUGAUACGGUGUCACCCAUGUUCUUCGUUUGCCUAGCAGUUCGAAGUGCGGCGUUGGCAGUAUCUUGCUCUGUGUGUUUGUGCUCGUAGAUCCAAGUCCUUCACUUGGUAGAGUCUCAGAGUUCAAAAAAUCCUCCAUGUUUCUCAAAAUGUGUCCUGCUCAUAGAGACAAGGUAGAGAUCAAGUGCAUGGGUCCUGUUGGUGGAAAACACCAACAGAACCAAAAGUAUAUUUAUUCAUCUCUAUCCUUAAGCAUAGGGAGCAAGACAAAGUUGAUGGGUGAUAAGUUCAUGUGUGUAGCAUUUAAAACAUUUGUCAGAUCAGAUCGCUUAACCUUAUGGAAAGAUAAUCUAUCUAUGUAUAUGUCUUUUUCUUUAUAUCUUCCCAAAUAUUGAAUGUGCAACAUUUUAGCUCAUAUGAUUCGGAGUGUGGGAUCACAAAGGUGGAAGGACUAAACAUGUUGAAUCGAUUGGGUUGGUUAAUCUAGAGUUAUAAAUCAUACAUGUUUGUCUCUUUAUUUAUGUGAAUGCCAGAACCAAGGAGAAGCUCAUAAAAAUGAUAGUCACAUAUCUUAACAUGUUACCUUAAUUGAAGAGUGAUGGUACCAUCUCACCUUGUGGAAGCUUCUCAUUCGUAGUGGUUGUGUAUCUUGUUUAUGUACUUUGUCUCCUUCCAUGGAUCAUCUCUCUAUGAUGAAUGAGCUAUGUCCCUCUUGUGCAAAUUGUUAAACUUCAUGUCUCUCUCUCUUCAUCUCUGAUGUGAGUUUAUCUCAGGACUUCCCAAAUUGAUAUUGAAAGUUUUUCUGUAGGGGAUAGUCCGACAAAAUAUACCAAUGUCUACACAAGCAGUUUUUAGUUCAAUAACCGAACUAGACUCCAUGUCUAAUCAGAUUAAGGAAGGUUGUUUAACCUAAGCACCAUGCUUAAUUUAAAAGCUUAUAUAAGUAUGUGCAGUACUUCCAAACUAACACUUACUAGGAUAAACAAAGGUAGUGUGAUGGCUUUUAUAGAGAUCUACUCAAGUGGAGAUGAAGUAGUGUGAUUAGUAUUUAAUCAAUUGAGCAUGUCUCAAAGGUAGGGACAACCAACAUAGCAACAUGGCAAAGGAUGUUUUUAUGUAAGGUACUCCCCCAAGCUUGAAUUUUGCAAAAUUCAAGUUUGGAUGAAUUUAAUUCAGUGUUGCAUGAUGAUUGGUUGGACAUACCUUGUGCUUGUCGUUCAUCGGAUCUUCUUGCUCUAAUCCUGGAAAGGUUAGUGACAAGAAUACCCGAAGGAAUAUUUUUACAAUUAUCCUUAUAUGCUCAAUACACCAGGUAAUGUUGCAAAAAGCUCAUGUUACGAUCUGAUGAGUGCUUAUUUUAGGACACUAAGCUUGUCCUUGGGAAACCAUCAGUUUAUGUUGGCGAAGUCGUUUCCCCUCUGACGCCAACCUUUGUAUAUCAAGAUUAGCUCAACGAGAUCUGAAAUAUUUAUUAUAGACAUAUGCAUCGACAACCGCCCUUUUAAAGUUUUGGUAAAUAGAAAGGAAGAGGGGGUUGGAGAUCUCAAAUGUGGUGAUGUUGGAGAGACCAAUAGAUUGGGAAGAUAUUUCAUAUGAGCAUGGAGUAAACGAAGUGGGUAUGAAAUAAAUUCCAUGCUCAUUAAUGUUAUCUUCAUCUAUAAUCUGAAUGUUCAAAGUUUCUCUUGGAUUGGUCCCGUCUAUGUCCUCUUCUAUGGAUGGAUGAAUCUCAUAUUCAAGGGGAGUUAAAGAUUCAACAUCUGAAAUUGAGUCAAGGUCAGAAUCCAUUAAGGCUUCUUCCUUGUCCAUCCACUUUACACAUUCUAGCCAUUUAGAACUUGUGAUCAGGAAAGUGGAGGUGUUAGAAUUUUCUAUAUGGCUUAGCUCUCCUUCUAUGACAUUACUUAACAUGUCAUCCUCAUGGUCAUUAUGACUCCUAUGGUAUGAUCGUCUUGAUAGAUUGCUAGGAUCAUCAUAAGACUGAAAAGGAGGGGGAUAAGAGGGGUCUCUAAGGUCAAGGAUGGAUUUAGAAUUUGUGAACAUGGAAGGGGAGCAGAUAGAAUCUUCUAUAUGGUUUAGCUCUCCUUCACUUGAUAUGUCAUCCUCGACUUCUUCAUAACAGGAACCAGGACAUUCUUUAAGAGAACCAUUAUUGCAAGGAUUUGAAUUAUCCCUGCUUGAAGGUCUCUUAUGGAACCAGAAGUCUAAACCAUCAGGAUCUGAAAGAUUUAAGGUUGGAAUUCCUUCCUCCCUUAGAGAAUUUUGGGGUAUUGAUGGGUUAGGAUCGAUAGCUAAAGUUUGGGAUUGAAGUGGUUGUAAUUUAGCUAUCAAAACUUCCUCUUCUAGUCUAGGAACUGAUUCUUUCUCUUUCUCAGGGAUAUAAAUGCUAGGAGACAUUCUGCUCAUUAAAUCAAUCAAAUUCCAAGCUUCACUAGCGGACAUGUGGUGGAAAGAUCCUCCAGAGGCCGCAUGAUGGGUUUACUUAUUUUCCCUACUAAGGCCCUUAAAAAGUGAAUUAGAAGAACUUCUUCUGGAAUAGAAAGCUUUGGGCCAGUGAGAGUAAGGUCAAUAAAGCGGUCCUAUGAUUCACCAAGAGAUUCUUCUUCUAAUUGUCUAAAAGAAAGAAUCUCGAGCCAAAGAUCCUCCACUUUGGAGAUCGGAAAAUAUUUUUAGAGAGAAAACUAUUGUAUAGCUCCUUCCAAUCUCCAUGAGCACUUCCUAUGUUGAGUUUAUACCAAUGUCUAGCUUUUCCCGUUAAAGAGAAGGCAAAGAGCUUCCAUUUAAGGGUCUCAUCAUACAUGCCUUCAAUGCGAAGGAGGUCACGGUCUCGAUAAAACUCUCUUAGGUGUGUGUAUGGGUUUUCCGCACCUUCUCCUGAGAAAGGUUGUUUUUGAAGAAAUUCUAUGUAUUCCAGGCUUAUCUCAAAACCAGAUGUCAUGAUAGGCUUUGAAGAUCUUAGUGGUUCGAGAUGUGUGCCCGUAGGUCUACUAAACUGAUAGAUAGACAUGUUUGCCUUCAUGAUAGACCAGAGAUUAAGGAUUAGAUAAGAAGAAAGAAUAGCAGAGAUAAGGCAAAGGAUAAAAAGAAAUAUAUAUAUAUAUAUAUAUAUAUAUAUAUAUAUUUAUUUAUUUAUUUAUAUUUUUUUAGAAAAUGAUUAAGCUAGUUCGUAGUCAACUCAGCAGCCGUUUCCCUGACAACGGCGCCAAAAAGCUUGUUGACACUUGCUAACACCACUUGAAUACUAGGUUGUCAUCCCCAGUAUGGCACUAGAGUGUACUAUGGUAUUUAUACGCACACAGAUAAUUCCGCAAGCGCACGGAUACCGUUGUAGCUUUUACCCGGUUAAAGGUUUUAUCGUAUCCACAGGGAAAUGGGAGAACCAACUACGCUCUAACUUAACCAAAAUAGAUAGAUAGGUGUAAAUAGAAAAGAUGGUAGAAUUGAAUAAGAACAAUAUUAAAGGUAAGAUAACAAUGGGUGAUAAUCGGGGAAUAGAGAGUAGAGCAAUCUAAUAUAUGGGCGAUAAUAGGAGAAUAGAGAGGAUAACAAGGGUUUCUCUACUUCAAAGGGGUAUGAAUAUGUCUAGGACGAACCACGAGAUAAGAUUACACCACAAAGGAUGCUUAUCCAUAGGCCGAUAAACCCUACCAGUCCUGCUAAUGGGAGGUGGACUACAGGGGACCAAUGUAGCUAUCACCCACGCGGCCUACCAAACGAUCCGGCUAACAGGGGAUAUCCACAAGUAAUCUAGGUCUAAGCACCAUGCUUACACCUAUACUACAACUCUCACCUAUAGCGUCCUAUAGAUUAAAGUACUCAAAAGAGUUGUGAACCAGAACAUACAUGGAUAGUAAUUGCAUAAUGAAAUAAGAAGUAGAUUACCAGAGUCAUCCCAUGAGCAAGCUUGAUUAGAGCUUAAUCAUGGCGAAGUACAACCGGAGGAAGAACCGACAGGCCAGCUUCUCCUCCAAUCCUCCCUCGCUCUCCAUCUCGCUACUAUCUAGAUCUACUCUAGUUUAGAGAUGAGAGGAGUUCUCUCAUCUCCAAACCCUAGCUUUUGCUCUGUCUAUGAAUAAUGAAUAAGGAUGAAGGGGUUCCUCCUCCAAGGGCCAGGGGUCCUGCUCAUAUAGCCCUUCCAAAUGAAUGUGGGCCGUCGGAUCAAACCGACCUUAAUCGCAUGGUUUUCCUUGAUCCUUUUGGUCGGUGGAGCAUAAUCCGUGAGGCGGAGCCUGAUUGGUUCCUGUAGCAGGGCGGGCGCCCAAGGGGGAGGGCGGGCGCCCUGUCCCCGAGCCCGCUCGGCGUCCCGUUCGUUCCCGUGGCUUUUGGUGUCUUCUAGAUGAUAGAAAAUUGACACAUGCAUUAAUAUCUCUAUGUAAACCUGAUGUGUGGGCCUUUCCUCCAUAUUUCCUGAUAACCCCAUGUAGAAAUAGACAAACACCAAAACUCGUGGAAUUCUGUCACACAAAACCCUAUGUCUGGGUGUCACAUAAAACUCGUAGAAAUAGACAAACCCCUGGAGAAGGCACCCCUUCAUCCUUAUUCAUUAUUCAUAGACAGAGCAAAAGCUUGGGUUUGGAGAUGAGAGCUCUCCUCUCUUCUCUAAACUAGAGUAGAUCUAGAUAGUAGCGAGAUGGAGAGCGAGGGAGGAUUGGAGGAGAGGCCGGCCUGUCGGUUCUUCCUCCGGUUGUACUUCGCCAUGAUCAAGCUCUAAUCAAGCUUGCCCAUGGGAUGACUCUGGUAAUCUACUUCUUAUUUCAUUAUGCAAUUACUAUCCAUGUAUGUUCUGGUUCACAACUCUUUUGAGUACUUUCAUCUAUAGGACGCUAUAUGUGAGAGUUGUAGUAUAGGUGUAAACGUGGUGCUUAGACCUAGCUUACUUGUGGAUAUCCCCUGUCUAGCCAGAUCGUGUGGUAGGCCGCGUAGGUGACAGUUACGUUGGUCCCCUGUAGUCCACCUCUUGUUAGCAGGAUUAGUAGGGUUUAUCAGCCUAUGGAUAAGAAUCCUUUGUGGUGUAUUCUUAUCACAUGGUUCUCCCUGACAUAGACAUACCCCUUUGAAGUAGAGAAACCAUAGUUAUCCUCUCUAUUCUCCUACCACCGCCCUGUCCCCGAGCCCGCUCGGCGUCCCAUUCGUUCCCGUGGCUUAUGGAGUCUUCUAGAUGAUAGAAAAUUGCCACACACGUUAAUAUCUCUAUGUAAACCCAACGUGUGGGCCUUUCCUCCAUAUUUCCUGAUAACCCCCUACAGAAAUAGACAAACACCAAAACUCGUUGAAUUUUGUCAGAUAAAACCCUACGUCUGGACGUUGGUCGCAUUUGGAUCCUUUUCUUUAUUUAUUUAUUGAUUAAAUUUGAUACUUAUGGAUCGUCAACACUCGGGAUUGUCGCGGUGCAAAGGCGAACAAGAUGCGCUAGGAAGGAAGCGGAAGGAGGCACGGUGGCGCGCUGGCCACGCGAGCAGCGACGGCGCUCACGCCGGAUAAGAGGACGAGGGCGAAUAGGGCCUACUGAGCAUCUCAAGGUGCUAGGAGGUGCGUUUGGUGACGGUGAGGUGGAAGCGGAGCUCGAGGAGGAAGGAAUCAAGGAAUGGCACGCUCGUCGGAGAAGAAUGGCCGUGGGGGUGCUCAUGAGCUCCAAUGGCGACGGCGGCGCUGGUGCGGUUAGAGUGAGGGUGAGGAGGCGAGAGAGAGAGCGAGAGUGAGCGCACGGGAGAGAGGAGAGAAUGGCAAGUGCACUGGGAAUGAUGGCAGGCGAGGGCAAGGUCGUGGCGCUGGCCGGGUGCGCAUGCCGGCCAUGCGGCGUCGCGGCCCUCAUGUGGUCGGGCGCGCGCGGCACUAUCGUUGUGGCGAGCGAGAGAAGGGAUGAGAGGAAAGGGCGGGGCUGGGCUGGCUUCACUGGCUGGGCUGGUUGGUAUCUACAAGGAGCAACCACUAGUUACUCAUUCCUUGGUAUCUACUAUACCCAUAGGUUGCUCCUUGUCUUCUAGGUCUGCCUUUAUCUUGAUCCCCCUAGGUUCAAUCCUUUGCUUAGGCACCUUCAAACACUUUCUUAGCUGGGACACAUGGAAAACGGAGAAGAUAGAACUUAACUCAUGAGGCAACUAUAUCUUGUAGGCCACAGGGCCUUUCCGCUCCACUAUCUGAUACGGUCCCACGUACCUUGGUGCAAGCUUACUUCGGACCUGAAACAUUGAACUUUAUUCAUUGGAGUAACAUUGUGGUAAACAUAGUCACCUACAUCAAACUCAAGCGGUCUCUUCUCUUAUUGGCAUAGAUUUUCUAACAUGAUUGUGCGGCUUUCAUGUGUUGCUAUAUGAUCUGUACCUUUUUCUCCCUUCGUUCAUGAAGUCAAUGCCAUAGUAUCUCCUCUCACUAGGUUCUACCCAGUUUAAUAGAGUUCUACACUUUUGACCAUACAGAGCUUUGAAUGGAGCCAUCUUAAUGCUCUCUUGCUAGCUAUUGUUGUAAGAGCAUUCAGCCAAAGGUAACCAUGAUUCCCAAGAUCCCUUUGAAGAUAACACACACGCUCUCAACAUAUCUUCGAGUACCUGAUUAAGUCUCUCUGUCUGGCCUGAGGUUUGAGAAUGAUAUGUUGUACUUCUCACUAGGCUGGUGCCCAAACUCUUGUGCAUUUGUUCCCAAAAAAGAGCGGUGAACCGCGAACCUCUAUCCGAUAUGAUAGUCUUGGGAAUACCAUGCGGCUUGACAAUCUCAGCUAUAUAUAAGUCAGCAAACUUGGGAGGUUUGUAUCGUGUCUUAACCGAGAUCAAAUGAGCCGAUUUGGUUAACUGAUCCACAAUAACCCAAAUCAAGUCAUUUCCUUUCUUUGUAGUCAGCAGUCCUAUGAUAAAAUCCAUACUGAUCUCUUCUCACUUCCAAUCUGGAACUGAUAGCGGUUGCAAGAGCCCUGCUGGCUUCAUAUGUAUGGCCUUGACCCUACAACACGUGUCGCAGCGGGCCACAUAGGCUGCUAUUUCCUUCUUCAUUUUGGUCCACCAGAAGUGGGGUUUCAGAUCUUGGUACAUCUUGCUGCUCCCUAGAUGGAUGGAAAACUUUGAAAGAUGUGCUUCAUCCAUGAUCUGAUUCUUUAGCUCUCAAUUCUUAGGGACCACUAACCGAUUCUAAAACCAAAGUACCACUCUUUCAUCCACUCGAAACUGGGUAUUGGGGUCAUCCUUGAUCUUUUCCUUGAGAUGAAAAAUACCCUUAUCUAUUUUCUGCCCCUCUCUGACUUGACUCUUGAGUGAGCAACUGAGCUGUAUGUGACAUAGAACUUUAGGGUGCAUCUGGUGGAACCCAUCCUCGAACAACGGCUGGACCAUCUGGUAGUGUGGUUUACGGCUCAAAGCACCCGCCACGACAUUUGCUUUGCCUGGGUGGUAGUGUACUUCAAGGUCAUAGUCCUUGAUCAACUCCAACCAUCUUUCUUGCCUCAUAUUCAACUCGGAUUGAGUGAAAAUGUACUUAAGGUUCUUAUGAUCUGUGUAGAUAUGACACUUAUUUCCAAGCAGAUAAUGCCUCCAAAUUUUUAGAGCAUGCACAACAGCUGGAAGCUCAAGAUCAUGUGUCGGAUAGUUGACUUCAUGUUUUCUCAACUGGUUUGAAGCAUAGGCUAUAACUCUGCCCUCUUGCAUAAGUACACAUCCCAAACCAUUCCUUGACGCAUCACAAAACACAUCAAAAGACAUCUCGAUGUCCGGUUGUGCCAAAACAUGAGCAGUGGUCAGCAGCUUUCGCAAAGUACGGAAGGCUACUUCACACUCUUCUGUCUAGGGAAACUUAUGAUCCUUUUGUAGUAAACUAGUCAUUGGCUUAGCAAUAUUGGAGAAGUCGGGGAUAAAAUGAUGAUAAUACUCGGCUAACCCAAGAAAGCUUCGAUCCUCUAAGACAGAAGUUGGGGCCUUCCAGUCCAUGACCUCUGGUACUUUUAGUGGAUCUACGGCAAUCCCUUCUUCUGACAGAAUGUGCCCUAGAAAUGGAACCUUCUUAAGCCAAAACUCACACUUGUUUAACUUUGCAUAUAACUGAUGUUCUUGCAGUCAAGUCAGUAGAACUCUUAGAUGCUUGGCAUGAUCUUGCUCAUUCUCUAAAUCUAGCAUGAGGACUGAAUUCAUCACAUACAUAAAGUAUGAAGGAGCAUUUGUCAAUCCAAAGGACAUGACAAGAUACUCAUACAACCCAUAUCUGGUAGAAAAGGCAGUCUUUGGUAUGUCUUGCGGUCGAAUCUUGAUUUGGUGAUACCCAGACCUCAGAUCUAUCUUGGAGAACACCUUUGCUUUAGACAAGUGAUCAAACAGAGUGUCGAUUCAUGGUAAAGGAUAUUUGUUCUUGAUUGUCACAGCAUUGAGCGGAUGAUAGUCCACACACAUGCGCAAGGAUUGAUCUUUCUUCUUCACAAAUUGUGCCAGAUGAAACCCUUGUCCAGCAGUUCCCUUAGUUGAUUCUUCAAUUUAGCUAGCUCAUUUGGUGGCAUCCGAUAUGGUCUCCUGGAGAUCGGCGUUGUUCAUGGUAUCAACUCUAUGGCAAACUCCACCUCUCUAUUCGGGGAAGCCCACGUAACUCCUCCAGAAAAACAUCUAGAAACUCACAGGCGACUGGUAUAUGUUCUAGCAGAACUACUUGUAUAGCACAAGAAAGACUGGCAAAGUCAAACCGCCGAGGUAACCUGACCUGAAUUGUGCCAUCACCUUGGGGAUCCUUAAGGGAGAGAGUCCUCUAUCCUACAUCUAUGAUUGCACCCCAAUUUGUCAUCUUAUGCAUGCCAAUUAUAACAUCCAGAACCAACCCUAGCAUGACCACAAGGUUUACAUGAAACCUUUGGCCGCUGAUAUCCAAGGUUGCCCCUAUUACUGCCUUAUUUGUCAACACAUCAGCCCUAGCUGAACUGAUGCAAUAACCAUAACCCAACUUAGUAACGGUUGAAAGGUCCUAAUAUGGGUAGAGGGGGGUGAAUAGCCUAUUUAAAAAUCUACAAAGCACUAGAGCAAAGGAUUAAUAUAAUAAAAUGCGUAAAACAAUUUUGCUCUAGCUCUACAAAAGUUGCAAGCCGCCUAUUCAAUAAUUCUAGUUACUAUGAUCACUAAGCACAAGCAACGACUAUGUGACUACUCUCUACAACUAGUUACAACUAGCUAAAACUAGGUACUACUAGUUACAACUAGUUUGCAAGAAAGUAAAUGAUGAGUGAUAAUUAUACCGACGUGUAGAGGAUGAACCAAUCACAAUGUAUAUCAAUAUAUUCACCGGAAGAAUACCAAUCACAAUAUUGACACCAAUAUUUUUCUCCCGAGGUUCACAUGCUUGCCGGCACGCUAGUCCCCGUUGUGUCGACCAACACUUGGUGGUUCGGUGGCUAAUAGGUGUUUCACAAACCUAGCCCAACAAAUAGGCACCGCAAGAACCUACCCACAAGUGAGGUAGCUCAAUGACAUGAGCAAUUCACUAAAGUGGCUUUUGGCACUCCAGUAGGGAAUAAGCCCAAGAACCCUUUACAAAUAUCACCUUGAUUGGGGGCUGACACAACCUCCAAAUCUCCUUACCAAUCAACAAAUCCACAACUGUCUAGGUGACGACAAUCACCAAGAGUAAUAAGAAAUCCACAAUUUCAACAAUCACCUAGUGCCACAAGAAUAUGUAGUUUUAAAUGCACCUAGGGUUUCCCUCAAUCCUCUCUUAGAUGAGCACCAAGCUAUGAGAGGGAGAGGAGAGGGAGGAGAUGCUCACGAGCUCACUGGAUCAAUCACGUAGGCCUCUCAAAAAUCUCUCAUAGGAUUAGCACUUGGGAGAGAUGGGAGAGGGAAGCUCGAGUUUUAUGUUCUCUAGAAAGAAAGUAGUGAAGCGUUCUGUUCUGUGUUCACGAGAGACAGAGAGCCAGGAAAAAUGGAGUGCUCGGCCUAAAUCACUUGGACAGCCAGCUCUCUCAACGGGCAACUACAGUGUUGUUUGCCACAACGGGCAGCAGCACAGGCACUGAGUGGCCCUUUGUAUUCUCUCAGCAACGGGUCCCAUCAAAUAAAUGAGCGAGUGGCAAAGAGCUGCAACCUUCAGCAGUCCACGCGCAUGCACUCCUACCACUCUCCAUUUUAAAUGGGACGAGGUGCAUCUCAAAACAAUUGAGUACCUCCUUGUACUUGAGUGGACCCCACGCUAUAAAUAGCAAAGGUCAAUGGCUGCCUCCUUUUCUCAAAGUGUGUUCACAUUUGCAUGCAGCCAUGAAAAUCAUCUUUCUCUCUCUCUCUCUCAUUUAUUAUGGCAAGAGCUCCACAACAUGCAACGUAUGCAAGCAUGGUCCCUGACUGUCAUUCCUUCUUAUGCACGAGACAGACAGCAAGCAGCAGCUGUAAAUUCUUUCAACUGAUUCCAACUAGUUGCAACUGCUUUCAGCUCUCUUUCAUCUGCCUGUUGUUGGGCUGCACACUUGAUUCGACUAGUUGCAACUACCUCCAGUUACCUACAACCACACUCAUUUGCCUGCUGUUGAGCCGUGCACUGAUUUUAACUGGUCGCAACUGCUUCCAGCUUCUUGCAAAUAUAUUCACCCGCUUGCUGUUUGAACUGUCCACUAGUUUUAACUGAUUGCAACUGCUUCCAACUUGUUUCAACUACUUACAAAAACUUUUCAGCUUGUUUCAGCAGCUUGCAGUUCUUUUACGUCUAGACAGCAGUUCCCCUUCUGUGAAUUUUCAGCACCUUUCAAGUAGCUAAUUUCACCAAAAUAUUCCAAAAUAAAUUGGACAUUUAAAUUAGCUUUUCACAAAUAUUUUUAUAGGCUUUCUCAUGCAACUCACCACGUCACUAAGCGCUAGAUAAAUGCAAAUGAAAAUCAUACUUAGUGGCACUAGAUAACCAUUUCAAUUAAAGAUUUCCCCUCUUUAUAGUACGGUUAUCUAUCCUAAAUCCACUCACACCCACUAGGUGUCUUGAGUGGCAAAACAAAAUGGCCCUAUUAAAAAUACCUUUGCCUUGAGCCCUUUUUGUUUUUCUCUUUCUUCUUUUCCAAGUUGGAGCACUUGAAUAUCAUCUUUUGGUCACCUCCAUCACCAUGACCAUCAUCUAGCCCCAUCACUUGGUGUGUACCAACCUAUCUUUAUAUUUCACUCAUGACAAAGGUUAGUACACAUAGGUUUUCAUCAAUUAUCCAAAACCAAACUAGGGCUUUCACUAGUUGAUCAUGUUUUUGUGCAAAUGCUUGGCUCAUGAAUGAAUGCGAUGAUCCAGAAUCAAACAAAACAACUAUAAGAUGUUGGUUAAUAGGGAACAUACCAGCUGUUACCGGUUCUCCUUCCAGAAUCUCCUCAAUUGAGGUGUGGUGCAUACGGGCUAGGUACGUCGUCUGCUACUUCUUGGGGUGGGGACAUUCCUUGACAAAGUGCCUCAUCUUGUGGCAGUUGUAGCACGGACCCUUGGUCGCGGUGUUGGCAGUAGGUGUUGCAGCUUGAUGGGCCCAUGGCUUUGCUGGAGCCACUGCCACCUUAUACAGCUUCUACUGAGUUGGAUGUCCUGUGAUUCUUCUUUUUGGAGAUCAGAACCUAGCACCCAGGGGAGGAGGACGAUACUGCUGACGCCCUAUCACUGGUGCCCUAGACUGAGACGAACCGGCCUGAAAAGCCCUCUUGCAUGACUUGGAUGCACUAUAGUUGUUGUUAUUGUUCUCUUGGGUCAGGUAGACACUCAUGUAGGCAUUGAAGGUAGCUCGGGUCCCUAUACCAUAGUCUUCAGCAUCUUCGGGCUCCAUCCCCUCUGGAAGCUAGCAAUCUUCUUAGCAUCAGUGUUCACAGACUCUGGAACGUAACGAGCAAGGUUGUUGAAAGCAUGCAGGUAUUCUUUCACAGUCUUGGUCCCCUAUGACAGCUUCAUUAAUUCACCAAUCUUCAUCUCCACUAAGCCUGGGGGAAUAUAGUUUACCCGAAAAGCGGUGGUGAAGCGAUUCUAGGUGAUGGGGGUUCCCUCUGGAUAGGUGGUACGAUGGUGGGAUCACUAAAUCCUAUCAGGCCCCUCCAGUUGAUGCGCCGCAUACUCUGCCUAUAGCUCUUUAGUCAUCCGAAGGAGAUGAAAUUUCUAUUCCAUGGUGUUAAUCCACUCGUCGGCUUCAAGCAGUUCUGUGGCCUCCUUAAAGACCGGUGGUUUGGUGUCCAUAAAGUCCUUGAAGGAACUAUAUCGAUUCACUUCAUGGCCACCCAGGUUAGCCCCACGACGGGUGUUGUCAGCGAUAUUGCAUAGGGCAGCUUCCAUGUUCCACUGCAUUUGUUCUAUGUUUUGCUGACUCCCCAGAAACUGCGCGAAGAACACCUCUGUAGUAUAAGGAAGGGGAGGAGGUGGUGGUGGUGAUGGUGCUCUAUCCUCAUUCCUGCGAGCCCCACCUCCGGACGAACCUUCUCCAGCACCGGGGUUGCGGUUACCCCUGCCACAUGUUUCUACCAUCUACACGUGUCAGUGAUAAGCAAUCGUUAGGAGUUGUUAUCAACCGGUAGAUAUUUAGAAAAUCGUGCCAUAUUGAAUUUACUGACAAGAUUAAAUCCACGCAAUAAACAGAGGCACAAUAAUUCAUCAUCCACACACAACAUCACUAGCCAAUUAUUUAGCAUAUAGCCAACAGGGUUCGCAUACAUCCAAAAUUGCCAGCAUACAUACACUAGACUUUUCAGCAUCAACACAACCGCAUAAAGUCUCACAAAUAACCAAGUCUCAACCGGAUUAAGAGUACAUGCCAUGCAGCAACAACAACAACAAAAGAAAGACUAGCACUCGAGCUCUAGCAUCUACUCGCUAUGGUCGCUAUCCAUGCCGAAACCUUCACCUUCCUCAUCUUCACUUGCUGCCACCUCCAUCUCUAGAUCCUCAUCCAUCUCUUCCACAGAAUCUAACUCAGCUGCUCCAGGAAGAUGAUGGGGAUGGAGCUGGUUAUACAACUGGUGAAUCUCCUCAUGCAAGUUCUCAUUGUACUCCUCAGCAAUAGCUAGUUGCUACUCAAGCUCUAGCUGUCAGGCCCUAAGAGUAUCUUCCUCGUGUCAGGCUUCAUUCCUCUGACCAAGCACAUGAACUAGCAUGCGCUCAUAGUUCCUAUGUGUUGUGGUCACCCUGUCCCUCUACUCUCUCACUACCAGCAUAUCCUGACUCAGCACACUGUUCUGCUAAACAGCCUGGUCCCUCUAUAGAAUCACUCGAGCUAGCUCUGCCUGCAACCUCUCAACCUCACUGUCAAUCUCACAUUGUAGCUGGCGCUUCUCAUUCUGAACUAUCAUCAGAGACCCAGACAAACGCCCCAAACAGCGCUCUAGGCCCCCAUAUGUCUUCAUCAUAGCAAACAUAGCACUCAUAGCUGUACUGUCACUGUGCUGGUCCUCAUCGGCACUCCUCUCUAGAGCACUCCCCUCAGACCGAUCCCACACCGAAGUGUAUUGGUCACCCUAAGGAAACACUUGUUGGGUAUUUUAAACGCAAACAGAAAAAUCCGCAAGCGCACGGAUACCGAUGUAGCUUUCACCCAGGAGUAUUCCAGAGUAUCGAUUUUCCACAGGGAACGUGAGUGUACUAAUUAAGAUUCAAGAUCGCCCAAGGAUAACUAUAUAAUUAUUUUUGGUGGGAAGAGAGGAAGUUUUCUGAGAAUUCUCUAAUUGAUCUAAGAAUCAAGAAUUACUUCAAGAUUAUCUAUUUCGGGACAUCAGAACACUAACCACAGAAAGAGAUGAGAAGGGGGCUAGGAAGCUCUGACUACGGUCCUACAAACACCGAUCCGAAUGAGGUGGAAUACGUCGACCGUUAGGGCUAUCACUACCCUAAGGCUACCACAACAAUCCGCAUGAUUGGGUGUAAUUCAAGGUAAUUGCAAGACUAAACACCACAUCUAAUCUAUUAAUUACUACUCUAAUGUUGCAAAGACUAGAGCACUUGAUGCAAGCGGGAAUCCAAUAAAUAACUUGAAUGUAAAUAAAAGUAAUUAAAGAACUCAGGAAUUAUGAAUUUAAGAAUCUGGAGAACGAUGAAGAACGAACCAGUUGCUACAAAAGUACAAUGUUGAGGAAGAUCCGACAGAUCCUGCUCCUCCUUCUCCGCUCUCCUCUUCUCUCUCCCUAUUUUCUAGAUUACAACUAGAACUAACUAGAACUAGAACUAGAGGACUAGAAAUAGAACUAGAUGAACUAGAACUAGAACUAGAUGAACUAGAGGUAGAACUAGAAGAACUAGAGGGAUCCUCUUGUUGACACUUACUAACACCACUUGAAUACUAGGUUGUCAUCCCCAGCAUGGCACUAGAGUGUACUAUGGUAUUUAUACGCACACAGAUAAUCCGCAAGCGCACGGAUACCGUUGAAGCUUUUACCCGGUUAAAGGUUUUAUCGUAUCCACAGGGAAACGGGAGAACCAACUACGCUCUAACUUAAUCCUAGAUAGAUAAGUAAAUGUAAAUAGGAAAGAUGGUAGAACCGAAUAAGAACAAUAUUAAAGGUAAGAUAACAGUGAGUGAUAAUAUGGGAAUAGAGAUAGAGCAAUUCUGGUAUAUGGGCGAUGGUAGCAGAAUAGAGAGAAUAACUAUGGUUUCUCUACUUCAAAGGGGUAUGUCUAUGUCUGGGACGAACCACGUGAUAAGAGUACACCACAAAGGAUGCUUAUCCAUAGGCCGAUAAACCCUACCCAUCCUGCUAACGAGAGGUGGAGUACAGGGGACCAACGUAACUGUCACCUACGCGGCCUACCACACGAUCCAGCUAGUCAGGGGAUAUCCACAAGUAAUCUAGGUCUAAGCACCACGCUUACACCUAUACUACAACUCUAACCUAUAGGGUCCUAUAGAUUAGAAGUACUCAAAAGAGUUGUGAACCAGAACAUACAUGAUUAGUAAUUGCAUAAUGAAUUAGAAGUAGAUUACCAGAGUCAUCCCAUGAGCAAGCUUGAUUAGGGCUUGAUCAUGGCGAAGUACAACCGGAGGAAGAACCGACAGGCCGGCCUCUCCUCUAAUCCUCCUUCGCUCUCCAUCUCGCUACUAUCUAGAUCUACUCUAGUUUAGAGAAGAGAGGAGAGCUCUCAUCUCUAAACCCUAGCUUUUGCUCUGUCUAUGAAUAAUGAAUAAUGAUCAAGGGGUUGCCUCCUCCAGGGGCCAGGGGGUCUGGUUUUAUAGUCCCCUCAAGUGAACCUGGGCCGUCGGAUCAAACCGACAUUGAUUGAACGGUUAUUCUUGAUCCUUUAGGUCGGUGGAGCAUAAUCCGCGAGAUUGAGCGUGAUUGGCAACAGGAGGUGGGCGGGCGCCCAGUAGGACAGGGCGGGCGCCCUGUCUCUGGCCCCGAUUCGCCUCCGCUUCGGUCUCGUGGCUUCUGGAGUCUUCUAGAUGUAAGAUAAUUGCGCGGCACGUUAAUAUCUUUACGUAAUCCCGACGUGUGGGACUUUCUUCCUUAUUUCCUGAUAACCCCCUGCAGAAAUAGACAAACACCAAAACUCGUGGAAUUCUGUCAGAUAAAACCCUAAGUCUCGAUGUUGAUUUCAUUUGGAUCCUUUUCUUUGUUUAUUUGAUAGUUAAAUUUGAUACUUAAGGACCGUCAACAAACUCCCCCAAGCUUACCUCUUGCUCGUCCCUGAGCAAGGAUAGACUCAGCUAUGGAUCAUAAGUUGUUGCAAUAUCUUUCAAAAUUGACGGUACACAUGCUUUUAAAUGAGGUCUCAUCUCUGAGUUAGAGUAAACUGUCAAGACUUGAAACUUACUUACUUUACCUUUCACCAUGGGACUUGUAACCGUCACUUCUGUCUUGAGUCCAGUCAAGUGCCAUGUCGCUUAUUCUUGAUCAGCUAUAGCUCUGGAGUUUUUGCAGAUUUUCAAAUAAAACUCAGAGAUUCCUUUGUAUGACUCUCUCAUAUCUCUCUUUUGUGGUAUUUCUGGAUCCUUACCAAGGCAGUGAUGGUAUAUGCCUUCUCUCAAAAUAUGUGGUAUUUGUGGUAUAAGGGAUAGUGACAUUGUCUUCUCUCUCACCCUACUCUAAUAAGGCUUUAAUAUCUGGAGCUCAUAGGUGGGAGAUAAAAUAUACAUACUUACAAGACAUUUAUUGUAUAGUCAAACCAUGGAUCCAAAGAAACUAAUCAAUAAGCCAAAUCAAGAUGUGCAUGUGUGGUGAAUGAAUGGUGUAUGGUGAUGAUGGUGAUAACAAUGGUGAAAGUCUAAUUCUACUUUUGCUCUUAUGAGGGGAUACAUACCUUCCUUGCUUUUUGAAACUUUAUGAGGAGAAUGAGAUGCUCUUCUUUUUCUUUUCUCUCAGAUGGGUAUCCUGUACCCCUAAUUCUACUGUCGGACACUUGUCCAUUUUUACCUCUCGUCUCACUCUUUUUCUUUUCUUUCGAGGUUCCGGGCACUUGCCCCUUUUUAUUUCCUCGUUUAUUUUUUUUCUUUUCUUUUUUUUUCUUCUUUUUUUUAGAGCACUCAUCUCUUGAGAUAAUAUAGCAAGUGGUAGUAGCAAGAUAACUUGAGCAUUUAUUUCACAAGGGAAAAACACAGAUGUUUUUGGCUAUUCUCUCCCAAAUUAGGAAUAGAAUAUUUUUAGGUGAUUCUGGAGAUGGAAAUGGAUGGAUAUAUGUGGAUGGUACUUCCGGAGUAGAAGUAGCAUAUAUAUGAGUGAACGUGCAAGUGAAUCUUGAUUUAACCACAUGACAAGCUCCUAAGGGUCUACACAGCUUGACCACACUCAAUGCUCAUAAGCAGUAAAUAAUAAAUAUGUGGCUCAAAGUCUAGCAAGCAUGUAUAUAUGGCUGUGGUAGGAAUUUAAACUUUCAUCAUACAGGAACUCAUCAUGCAACAUUUUAAAGAUUUUUCAAAGAUAAAAUUCUCCAGAAUUCUAGCAUCUCUAGGAAUAGAUAAACAGCAGCUCAACCUUCCCAUAUCAUAUCCGUUAACAACUUAGAUUUCAGAUCAAGUUUUCAUCCCACAAGUUUAGAUCUAGAGCAAGCUUUAAAUUAUAACAGUUAUGUCUAAACUUGAGAGAGAACUUCAAAUUUACAAAUUAGGCAGAGCAACUAUUCAUCAUAUCGAUGCUAGAGUUUUAUUAUUAAGAUUCAGAUUAGCAUAGCCACUUUAUUUAUUUAUUAAACACACUAAGCAAAAGAUAUAUAUAUAUAUAAGCACAAAAUCUUUAUUUGUUUUUUCAUAGUUUAUGUAUUUUAAUAUUCUAAUAUAAUAUAAGUAUAAAGAUAGGUAGAAAUACUUAGCGAGAUAAAUGGGGGUGCUCUCCCCCAAGCUGAAUUUUGACGUAAUUUCUCUUGAUGUAGCUAGCAGGUGGCAGAGGUGUAUUUGAAAGUCAGCAGCAUUCUGACAGCGAUUAGAAUGUCCUCCGUCUGCUAGUCUUCUUGAUUCUUAAAUUCUGUGGAGCUCAAAUAGACAACAAAGCUUGUGGAACUAAUUAAGUGUUAGCAUAAAUAUUUAGCCUUCAUCACGUUGAGCUUCCUCAAUAAAUAUUACUCCCUGUUUUUAUAUUUUUAUUUUAUAAAGUAGAAAAGAAAUAUUUAUUUUAUUUUUAUGCUACCACAGUGAAGGUACUUAUGGGUUUUAUGCCACUCGUAUACUCACAUGGGGCUUAGUAUUUUUUAACAUUUUUAUUUUCUUUUCAAGAUAGCAUGAUUAACUAAUAAUCUAUUUAAGGAAAGUAAAUAAUUAAAGGGAAACGAGAAGGCAGAAAGGAUAAAUAUGGAUAACUACCAAUCUUACCUUUCGGCGAGGGUUCAAUGUUUUAAGUCUUCUUGACAAGACUUCUCACCGUGUUCAUUCUUCAGGUGCGUCAUUUGAUUCAGGUGCGGACCUUGACGUCUGCACCUUUUAAUACGGUGUCACCCAUGUUCUUCGUUUGCCCAGCAGUUCGAAGUGAGGUGUUAGCAGUAUCUUGCGCAGUGUGUUUGUGCUCGUAGUGUACCUGCUCAUAGAGACAAGGCAGAGAUCAAGUGCAUGGGCCCUGUUGGUGGAAAACACCAACAGAACCAAAAGUGUAUUUGUUCUUCUCUAACCUUAAGCAUAGUGAGCAAGACAAGUUGAUGGAUGAUAAGUUCAUGAGUGUAGCACUUAUAACAUUUGUCAGAUCAGAUCGCUCAACCUUAUGGAAAGAUAAUCUAUCUAUGUAUAUGUAUUUUUCUUUAUAUCUCUCAAUGAUUGAAUGUGUAACAUUUUAGCUCAUAUGAUUCGGAGUGUGGGAUCAUGGAGGUAGUACUAAGAACAAGGAUUAAAGGACUAAACAUGUUGAAUCAGUUAGGUUGGUUAAUCUAGAGUUGUAAAUCAUACAUGUUUGUCUCUUUUAUUUAUAUGAACGCUAGAACCAAGGAGAUGCUUAUAAAAGUGAUAGUCAAGUACCUUAAGAUGUUACC